Molecule: ribosomal RNA, 253 nt
Filed under: uncultured bacterium
Lineage: Bacteria
Description: partial 16S ribosomal RNA
Rfam family: Bacterial small subunit ribosomal RNA
Source: RNAcentral
GACGAACUGCCCAAACGUUGUUCGGAAUCACUGGGCUUAAAGGGCGCGUAGGCGGCAGAUCAAGUCAGGGGUGAAAUCCGGCAGCUCAACUGUCGAAGUGCCUUUGAUACUGAUUUGCUCGAGGGAGAUAGGGGUCUGUGGAACUUCUGGUGGAGCGGUGAAAUGCGUUGAUAUCAGAAGGAACGCCGGUGGCGAAAGCGACGGACUGGAUCUCUUCUGACGCUGAGGAACGAAAGCUAGGGGAGCGAACGGG